RNAcentral lists this ribosomal RNA (190 nucleotides) under uncultured bacterium. RNAcentral describes it as "partial 16S ribosomal RNA". It matches the Rfam family "Bacterial small subunit ribosomal RNA", at positions 1311 to 1500 of the family's 1533-position model. The record is from RNAcentral.
CUCGACUACAUGAAGCUGGAAUCGCUAGUAAUCGCGAAUCAGAAUGUCGCGGUGAAUACGUUCCCGGGUCUUGUACACACCGCCCGUCACACCAUGGGAGUCGGAUAUGCCCGAAGUCAGUGACCCAACCUUUUGGAGGGAGCUGCCGAAGGUGGAGCCGAUAACUGGGGUGAAGUCGUAACAAGGUAUC